RNAcentral lists this ribosomal RNA (253 nucleotides) under uncultured bacterium. RNAcentral's name for it is "partial 16S ribosomal RNA". It matches the Rfam family "Bacterial small subunit ribosomal RNA", at positions 524 to 776 of the family's 1533-position model. The record is from RNAcentral.
UACAGAGGUCUCAAGCGUUGUUCGGAUUCACUGGGCGUAAAGGGUGCGUAGGUGGUUAGGUAAGUCCGAUGUGAAAUCUCCAGGCUCAACCUGGAAAUGGCAUUGGAUACUAUCUAGCUUGAGGAGUGGAGGGGGGACUGGAAUUCUCGGUGUAGCAGUGAAAUGCGUAGAUAUCGAGAGGAACACCAGUGGCGAAGGCGAGUCCCUGGACACUUCCUGACACUGAGGCACGAAAGCUAGGGGAGCAAACAGG